This 241-nucleotide unclassified non-coding RNA is filed under the name Hevea brasiliensis (rubber tree). Lineage: Eukaryota; Viridiplantae; Streptophyta; Magnoliopsida; Malpighiales; Euphorbiaceae. The record is from RNAcentral.
GUGAAAUCUGAUUCAAAAGUUAAAGUUUUUGCUUUAUCUUGAUUCUUUCUUCAACCUAUUAUUACUGAAAACGUGAGCUUGUUAAAAGGAAACUAUAACCUUAAACUCAUUGGAGAAGAGAAAGUCUAUCUCAAUUUAAUUGAAAAUAGUUCUACUUAAUUUUAUUAAUUCGAGUGACCCAUUUUUAUAGAAGAGGUUUAUGCAAGAUUUAUUAGAAAAGAUUUAUUAGAAUUCUACUAGA